GAAACCCAGUGUGAUUCGUCACACUAUCAUUAACUGAAUCCAUAGGUUAAUGAGGCGAACCGGGGGAACUGAAACAUCUAAGUACCCCGAGGAAAAGAAAUCAACCGAGAUUCCCCCAGUAGCGGCGAGCGAACGGGGAGGAGCCCAGAGCCUGAAUCAGCAUGUGUGUUAGUGGAAGCGUCUGGAAAGGCGCGCGAUACAGGGUGACAGCCCCGUACACAAAAGCGCAUGUGCUGUGAGCUCGAUGAGUAGGGCGGGACACGUGGUAUCCUGUCUGAAUAUGGGGGGACCAUCCUCCAAGGCUAAAUACUCCUGACUGACCGAUAGUGAACCAGUACCGUGAGGGAAAGGCGAAAAGAACCCCGGCGAGGGGAGUGAAAAAGAACCUGAAACCGUGUACGUACAAGCAGUGGGAGCACAGGUUUACCUGUGUGACUGCGUACCUUUUGUAUAAUGGGUCAGCGACUUAUAUUCUGUAGCAAGGUUAACCGAAUAGGGGAGCCGGAGGGAAACCGAGUCUUAAUUGGGCGUUAAGUUGCAGGGUAUAGACCCGAAACCCGGUGAUCUAGCCAUGGGCAGGUUGAAGGUUGGGUAACACUAACUGGAGGACCGAACCGACUAAUGUUGAAAAAUUAGCGGAUGACCUGUGGCUGGGGGUGAAAGGCCAAUCAAACCGGGAGAUAGCUGGUUCUCCCCGAAAGCUAUUUAGGUAGCGCCUCGUGAAUUCAUCUCCGGGGGUAGAGCACUGUUUCGGCUAGGGGGCCAUCCCGGCUUACCAACCCGAUGCAAACUGCGAAUACCGGAGAAUGUUAUCACGGGAGACACACGGCGGGUGCUAACGUCCGUCGUGAAGAGGGAAACAACCCAGACCGCCAGCUAAGGUCCCAAAGUCAUGGUUAAGUGGGAAACGAUGUGGGAAGGCCCAGACAGCCAGGAUGUUGGCUUAGAAGCAGCCAUCAUUUAAAGAAAGCGUAAUAGCUCACUGGUCGAGUCGGCCUGCGCGGAAGAUGUAACGGGGCUAAACCAUGCACCGAAGCUGCGGCAGCGACACUCAGGUGUUGUUGGGUAGGGGAGCGUUCUGUAAGCCUGUGAAGGUGGCCUGUGAGGGUUGCUGGAGGUAUCAGAAGUGCGAAU
RNAcentral lists this ribosomal RNA (1134 nucleotides) under Salmonella enterica subsp. enterica serovar Virchow. RNAcentral describes it as "partial 23S ribosomal RNA". It matches the Rfam family "Bacterial large subunit ribosomal RNA", at positions 123 to 1295 of the family's 2925-position model. Lineage: Bacteria; Pseudomonadati; Pseudomonadota; Gammaproteobacteria; Enterobacterales; Enterobacteriaceae. The record is from RNAcentral.